RNAcentral lists this ribosomal RNA (305 nucleotides) under uncultured bacterium. RNAcentral's name for it is "bacterial SSU rRNA". It matches the Rfam family "Bacterial small subunit ribosomal RNA", at positions 338 to 660 of the family's 1533-position model. The record is from RNAcentral.
CCUACGGGAGGCAGCAGUGGGGAAUAUUGCACAAUGGGGGAAACCCUGAUGCAGCGACGCCGCGUGAAGGAAGAAGUAUUUCGGUAUGUAAACUUCUAUCAGCAGGGAAGAAAAUGACGGUACCUGACUAAGAAGCCCCGGCUAACUACGUGCCAGCAGCCGCGGUAAUACGUAGGUGGCAAGCGUUGUCCGGAUUUACUGGGUGUAAAGGGCGUGUAGCCGGGCUGACAAGUCAGAUGUGAAAUCCGGGGGCUCAACCCCCGAACUGCAUUUGAAACUGUUGGUCUUGAGUAUCGGAGAGGCAG